AAGGCGAGGCCGAAAGGCGUAGUCGAUGGGAAACAGGUUAAUAUUCCUGUACCUGGUGUUACUGCGAAGGGGGGACGGAGAAGGCUAUGUUGGCCGGGCGACGGUUGUCCCGGUUUAAGCGUGUAGGUGUGUGUUCCAGGAAAAUCCGGUUCACUUUAACACUGAGGCGUGACGACGAGGCACUACGGUGCUGAAGCAACAAAUGCCCUGCUUCCAGGAAAAGCCUCUAAGCCUCAGGUAACAUCAGAUCGUACCCGAAACCGACACAGGUGGUCAGGUAGAGAAUAC
Molecule: ribosomal RNA, 288 nt
Filed under: Salmonella enterica subsp. arizonae serovar 41:z4,z23:-
Lineage: Bacteria; Pseudomonadati; Pseudomonadota; Gammaproteobacteria; Enterobacterales; Enterobacteriaceae
Description: partial 23S ribosomal RNA
Rfam family: Bacterial large subunit ribosomal RNA
Source: RNAcentral